GCCUGGGUGGCUCAGUCGGUUGAGCAUCCGACUUCGGCUCAGGUCAUGAUCUCAGUUUGUGGGUUCGAGCCCAGCAUCAGGCU
Molecule: transfer RNA, 83 nt
Filed under: Felis catus (domestic cat)
Lineage: Eukaryota; Metazoa; Chordata; Mammalia; Carnivora; Felidae
Rfam family: tRNA
About the family: Transfer RNA (tRNA) molecules are approximately 80 nucleotides in length. Their secondary structure includes four short double-helical elements and three loops (D, anti-codon, and T loops). Further hydrogen bonds mediate the characteristic L-shaped molecular structure. tRNAs have two regions of fundamental functional importance: the anti-codon, which is responsible for specific mRNA codon recognition, and the 3' end, to which the tRNAs corresponding amino acid is attached (by aminoacyl-tRNA synthetases). tRNAs cope with the degeneracy of the genetic code in two manners: having more than one tRNA (with a specific anti-codon) for a particular amino acid; and 'wobble' base-pairing, i.e. permitting non-standard base-pairing at the 3rd anti-codon position.
Source: Rfam by way of RNAcentral